AUUGAACGCUGGCGGCAUGCUUUACACAUGCAAGUCGAACGAGUGGCGAACGGGGGAGUAAUAUAUCGGAACGUACCGAGUAAUGGGGGAUAACCAAUCGAAAGAUUGGCUAAUAACGCAUAUUAUUCGAGCGGCCGAUAACUGCUUCGCUAGUUGGUGGGGUAAAGGCCUACCAAGGCGACGAUCAGUAGCGGGUAUGAGAGGACGAUCUGCCACACUUGGACUGAGACACGGCCCAGACGCCUACGAGAGGCAGCAGUGGGGAAUUUUGGACAAUGGGCGCAACCCUGGUCCAGCCAUGCCGAGUGUAUGAAGAAGGCCUUCGGGUUGUAAAGUACUUUUGUUAGUGAAGCGGUACCUAAAGAAUAAGCACCGGCUAACUACGUGCCAGCAGCCGCGGUAAUAC
RNAcentral lists this ribosomal RNA (406 nucleotides) under uncultured bacterium. Its description in RNAcentral is "partial 16S ribosomal RNA". It matches the Rfam family "Bacterial small subunit ribosomal RNA", at positions 30 to 526 of the family's 1533-position model. The record is from RNAcentral.